This 468-nucleotide ribosomal RNA is filed under the name uncultured bacterium. RNAcentral's name for it is "partial 16S ribosomal RNA". It matches the Rfam family "Bacterial small subunit ribosomal RNA", at positions 28 to 507 of the family's 1533-position model. The record is from RNAcentral.
GACGAACGCUGGCGGCGUGCUUAACACAUGCAAGUCGAACGGAAAGGCCCUGCUUUUGUGGGGUUCUCGAGUGGCGAACGGGUGAGUAACACGUGAGUAACCUUCGCUUGACUGGGUGAUAACUGCAGGAAACUGGGGCUAAUACCUGAUAGGAGCGCCUGCUGCUGGGUGGGGGUUGGAAAGUUUCGGCGGUUGGGGAUGGACUCGCGGCUUAUCAGCUUGUUGGUGGGGUAGUGGCUUACCAAGGCUUUGACGGGUAGCCGGCCUGGGAGGGUGACCGGCCACAUUGGGACUGAGAUACGGCCCAGACUCCUACGGGAGGCAGCAGUGGGGAAUAUUGCACAAUGGGCGGAAGCCUGAUGCAGCAACGCCGCGUGCGGGAUGACGGCCUUCGGGUUGUAAACCGCUUUCGCCUGUGACGAAGCGUGAGUGACGGUAAUGGGUAAAGAAGCACCGGCUAACUACGUG